UGAGUUGAAGCUAAGACCACAAACAUAUUCUUCGUCAUCUCAUUUUCUUUGCCGCUUCUCAGCUUGCAUCUACACAUGAUUUCCUGUAUCUUUCUUCACUAUUUUGUUUCCUUUUCAGGUUUAUCACGUUCCUCUGCGUGCAAAAAGCUUUGGACUUCAUCAAAAAAAAUGAAAAGAGAUAAUAGACAGAAACAAUGUUUCAUUUUGUUCGAGUGAAGUUCCUUGCUAUUAUGUUGAUGACAUAAUCAAAUUUUAAGUUGUUGUGAUUAGUCAAAGAAAGAGAAUAAAUCAACUAAUAGCUGAUUAUCAAUGUGUAUUAUCGACGCGGUUUUGGAGGUAUAGGGAAGAAAGAUAGAAAUUUGAUGUGAUGUGAUAGAAAAUGUUGGCGUUGGAGUCCUUCUAAAUUCUCCCGCAGUCUGUGGGAUUUGCACAGCCUGUUCUCUUUGAAUUUUGCUGGCAGACCAUUCACUAUCUCCUCAUCAUUACCCUUCUCAUGAAAAGGAUAUAUAUAUAUCUUGCUCCAUUUUCUAUCAUUUACCCUUCCUAACACAAAGUAAUAUAUAAAAUCAAUCCCUUUUUUCUCAAAAAAUAAAAUAAAAUUCCAGCAAUGAUAAAAAUAGCUUGUGUAACUGAACUGAGUACAUCCUGAAGAGCUAAAACCUCUGC
This 666-nucleotide long non-coding RNA is filed under the name Ricinus communis (castor bean). RNAcentral's name for it is "long non-coding RNA (RCOM_LNC000539)". The record is from RNAcentral. Lineage: Eukaryota; Viridiplantae; Streptophyta; Magnoliopsida; Malpighiales; Euphorbiaceae.